CCCUUAGAUGUUCUGGGCCGCACGCGCGCUACACUGACGAUGGCAACGAGUUUUUCCUUCGCCGAAAGGUGUGGGUAAUCUUUUGAAACAUCGUCGUGCUGGGGAUAGAUCAUUGCAAUUUUUGAUCUUGAACGAGUAAUUCCUAGUAAGCGCGAGUCAUCAGCUCGCGUUGAUUACGUCCCUGCCCUUUGUACACACCGCCCGUCGCUACUACCGAUUGAAUGGUUUAGUGAGGACUCCUGAUUGGCGCCGCCGCCCCGGCAACGGAGCAGCGGACUGCCGAAAAGUUGUUCAAACUUGAUCAUUUAGAGGAAGUAAAAGUCGUAACA
Molecule: ribosomal RNA, 329 nt
Filed under: uncultured eukaryote
Lineage: Eukaryota
Description: partial 18S ribosomal RNA
Rfam family: Eukaryotic small subunit ribosomal RNA
Source: RNAcentral